UGGGGAAUAUUGGACAAUGGGGGCAACCCUGAUCCAGCAAUGCCGCGUGUGUGAAGAAGGUCUUCGGAUUGUAAAGCACUUUCGACGGGGACGAUGAUGACGGCACCCGUAGAAGAAGCCCCGGCUAACUUCGUGCCAGCAGCCGCGGUAAUACGAAGGGGGCUAGCGUUGCUCGGAAUGACUGGGCGUAAAGGGCGUGUAGGCGGUUUACACAGUCAGAUGUGAAAUCCCCGGGCUUAACCUGGGAGCUGCAUUUGAUACGUGUAGACUAGAGUGUGAGAGAGGGUUGUGGAAUUCCCAGUGUAGAGGUGAAAUU
RNAcentral lists this ribosomal RNA (316 nucleotides) under uncultured bacterium. RNAcentral's name for it is "partial 16S ribosomal RNA". It matches the Rfam family "Bacterial small subunit ribosomal RNA", at positions 355 to 688 of the family's 1533-position model. The record is from RNAcentral.